GGAAGGAUCAUUCACUGAGCAAUGCAGGUCCUUUGGGCUGCACAAGCUUUUUAUCUUUCUUGAUCAAGGCAUAUUUGCUAAAUAUGCCUUCCACGUUAAAGUGGAUUGUGAUGAUUUGGGAUCAUCAGUUUUUUAAUGAUGGCCCUUGGGCUCAAUGAUGCCAACUGUGUGAGCCUUUUAAGUGGCUUGCCCUCACAAUUAUGGUCAUUGAGGGAUUUGGGUUGUGGAAGCAAUCCAGGAUUGAGAUUGAUUUGAGGGUUGGCACUCAGUAUCAUCUCUUUGGAGUUUAUUUUACAACUUUCAGCAAUGGAUCUCUUGGUUCUUGCAUCGAUGAAGAACGCAGC
RNAcentral lists this ribosomal RNA (344 nucleotides) under uncultured fungus. RNAcentral describes it as "eukaryotic LSU rRNA". The stretch from base 296 to 344 matches the Rfam family "5.8S ribosomal RNA", at positions 1 to 49 of the family's 154-position model. Lineage: Eukaryota; Fungi. The record is from RNAcentral.